RNAcentral lists this ribosomal RNA (1223 nucleotides) under uncultured organism. Its description in RNAcentral is "bacterial SSU rRNA". It matches the Rfam family "Bacterial small subunit ribosomal RNA", at positions 115 to 1334 of the family's 1533-position model. The record is from RNAcentral.
ACGUGGGUAACGUGCCCGAGAGAUGGGAAUAACAGACGGAAACGUAUGCUAAUACCCAAUGGUCAGAGAGUAUAACAGGAUACUUUCUGUAAAGGUCCGGCGCUGUAUGAUCUCGCCCGCGGUGGAUUAGCCUGUUGGUGAGGUAACGGCUCACCAAAGCGACUAUCCAUAGCCGUUCUGAGAGGAUGGCCGGUCACUCUGGGACUGAUACAUGGUCCAUACUCCUACGGGAGUUAGCAUCAUGGAAUCUUGCACAAUGAGCGAAAGCUUGAUGCAGCGACGCCGCGUGAGGGAUGACGGCCUGCGGGUUGUAAACCUCUGUCAGGAAGGACGAAACCACCUUCGUGUUGCUGACGGUACCUCCAAAGGAAGCCCCGGAUAAUUACGUGCCAAUAUCCGGGGUAAAACGUGAGGCGCUAGCGUCGUCCGGAAUUACUGGGCGUACCGAGCACGUAGGCGGCCUAGCAAGCGGCAUGUGAAAUCUCACGGUUCAACCGUGAUACUGCUUGCCGAACUGCUGGGCUAGAGUGCGGGAGACGACAGUGGAAUUCCUGGUGUAGCGGUGGAAUGCGUCAAUAUCAGGAAGAACACCUGUGUCGAAGGCUGCUGUCUGGAACGCGACUGACGCUGAGGUGCGAAAGCUAGGGUAGCGAACGGGAUUAGAUACCCCGGUAGUCCUAGCCGUAAACGAUGGACACUAGGUUUUGGAGCUUUCGACCCCUUCAGUGCUGCUAAGCAAACGCGUUAAGUGUCCCGCCUGGGGAGUACGUCCGCAAGGUUGAAACUCAAAGGAAUUGACGGGGGCCCGCACAAGCGGUGGAGCAUCCGGGUUAAUCGGAUGAUACGCCGAGAACCUUACCAGGGCUUGACAUGUUUCUGACCGCCUAUGAAAGUAGGUUUCUUGCGCAAGCAAGCGGAAUCACAGGUGGUGCAUGGUUGUCGUCAGCUCGUGUCGUGAGAUGUUGGGUUAAGUCCCGCAACGAGCGCAACCACUCGCCAGAUGUUGCCAGCGGUUUGGCCGGGCACUCUUCUGGGACUGCCCGAGUAAUCGUGAGGAAGGAGAGGACGACGUCAAAUCGGCAUGCCCCUUACGUCAUGGUCUGCACGCGUGCUACAAUGGCGAGUACAACGGGUAGCCAAACCGCGAGCUGGAGCUAAUCACUUCAAAACUCGUCCCAGUUCGGAUCGGAUGUCUGCAACUUGACUCCGUGAAGUUGGAAUCG